AAACUUGUAAUUUAAAGGAUAAAAUAUAUAAUUACGAAUUGUAUUAUAAAAGUUCAAGUCUUUUCAAGUUUA
This is a transfer RNA of Plasmodium gonderi, 72 nucleotides long. It matches the Rfam family "tRNA". Rfam says of the family: Transfer RNA (tRNA) molecules are approximately 80 nucleotides in length. Their secondary structure includes four short double-helical elements and three loops (D, anti-codon, and T loops). The record is from Rfam. Lineage: Eukaryota; Apicomplexa; Aconoidasida; Haemosporida; Plasmodiidae.